RNAcentral lists this ribosomal RNA (305 nucleotides) under Mussa angulosa (spiny flower coral). Its description in RNAcentral is "eukaryotic LSU rRNA". It matches the Rfam family "Eukaryotic large subunit ribosomal RNA", at positions 43 to 343 of the family's 3401-position model. The record is from RNAcentral. Lineage: Eukaryota; Metazoa; Cnidaria; Anthozoa; Scleractinia; Faviidae.
UUAAUAAGCGGAGGAAAAGAAACUAACAAGGAUUCCCUCAGUAACGGCGAGUGAAGCGGGAAGAGCUCAAAUUUGAAAUCUCCGAUGCCUGCAUCGGCGAGUUGUAGUUGCGAGAAGCACUUUCUAGGCGGACCGGCGGUGCCUAAGUUGCUUGGAACAGCACGUCGCAGAGGGUGACAACCCCGUCUGUGGCGCCGGCGGCCGCCGACGAUGUGCUUUCGAAGAGUCGGGUUGUUUGGGAAUGCAGCCCAAAAGGGGUGGUAAACUCCAUCUAAAGCUAAAUACUGGCGUGAGACCGAUAGCGA